Molecule: ribosomal RNA, 474 nt
Filed under: Triticum aestivum (bread wheat)
Lineage: Eukaryota; Viridiplantae; Streptophyta; Magnoliopsida; Poales; Poaceae
Description: partial small subunit ribosomal RNA
Source: RNAcentral
GGGAAGAAGCCGAACCCGUUCAACAAAGGACAUGUGAACCACGUGAGCGUGGAGGAGGUUGAAGCUCAGCCUGAUGCAGUAAUAGGUAAGUUUUUGGUUAAGUCAUUUACUGCAACCGUUCUUUUCGAUACUGGUGCAUCGCAUUCAUACAUAUCAAGGGGAUUCGUAAACAAGUUUAAGAUGUCCACCCAAGUUCUCAAAAGCCCCAUGUUAGUAACCUCGCCAGGAGCAGAGUAUAUGGCCACCCAAGGAUCUUUUCAGAUACCGUUGGCCAUUGGUAGGCAUGUUUUCCCCUCAGACCUCAUUGUUUUGGAAUCGCAAGGUUUGGAUGUGAUCUUGGGAAUGGAUUGGCUAUCGUUGUAUGGAGGAAACAUCGAUUGUGCCAGCAAGAUGAUUUUGCUUACCACCCCGGAAGGAAAAAGGAUCAAGUAUGUAUCCCGGCAUAUGCCGAAGAGGACUCAAGUGAAUUCCUAA